GCUAUACAUGCAAGUCGUACGCACUGGCCCAACUGAUUGAUGGUGCUUGCACCUGAUUGACGAUGGAUCACCAGUGAGUGGCGGACGGGUGAGUAACACGUAGGUAACCUGCCCCGGAGCGGGGGAUAACAUUUGGAAACAGAUGCUAAUACCGCAUAACAACAAAAGCCACAUGGCUUUUGUUUGAAAGAUGGCUUUGGCUAUCACUCUGGGAUGGACCUGCGGUGCAUUAGCUAGUUGGUAAGGUAACGGCUUACCAAGGCGAUGAUGCAUAGCCGAGUUGAGAGACUGAUCGGCCACAAUGGAACUGAGACACGGUCCAUACUCCUACGGGAGGCAGCAGUAGGGAAUCUUCCACAAUGGGCGCAAGCCUGAUGGAGCAACACCGCGUGAGUGAAGAAGGGUUUCGGCUCGUAAAGCUCUGUUGUUGGAGAAGAACGUGCGUGAGAGUAACUGUUCACGCAGUGACGGUAUCCAACCAGAAAGUCACGGCUAACUACGUGCCAGCAGCCGCGGUAAUACGUAGGUGGCAAGCGUUAUCCGGAUUUAUUGGGCGUAAAGCGAGCGCAGGCGGUUGCUUAGGUCUGAUGUGAAAGCCUUCGGCUUAACCGAAGAAGUGCAUCGGAAACCGGGCGACUUGAGUGCAGAAGAGGACAGUGGAACUCCAUGUGUAGCGGUGGAAUGCGUAGAUAUAUGGAAGAACACCAGUGGCGAAGGCGGCUGUCUGGUCUGCAACUGACGCUGAGGCUCGAAAGCAUGGGUAGCGAACAGGAUUAGAUACCCUGGUAGUCCAUGCCGUAAACGAUGAGUGCUAGGUGUUGGAGGGUUUCCGCCCUUCAGUGCCGGAGCUAACGCAUUAAGCACUCCGCCUGGGGAGUACGACCGCAAGGUUGAAACUCAAAGGAAUUGACGGGGGCCCGCACAAGCGGUGGAGCAUGUGGUUUAAUUCGAAGCUACGCGAAGAACCUUACCAGGUCUUGACAUCUUGCGCUAACCUUAGAGAUAAGGCGUUCCCUUCGGGGACGCAAUGACAGGUGGUGCAUGGUCGUCGUCAGCUCGUGUCGUGAGAUGUUGGGUUAAGUCCCGCAACGAGCGCAACCCUUGUUACUAGUUGCCAGCAUUAAGUUGGGCACUCUAGUGAGACUGCCGGUGACAAACCGGAGGAAGGUGGGGACGACGUCAGAUCAUCAUGCCCCUUAUGACCUGGGCUACACACGUGCUACAAUGGACGGUACAACGAGUCGCAAGCUCGCGAGAGUAAGCUAAUCUCUUAAAGCCGUUCUCAGUUCGGACUGUAGGCUGCAACUCGCCUACACGAAGUCGGAAUCGCUAGUAAUCGCGGAUCAGCAUGCCGCGGUGAAUACGUUCCCGGGCCUUGUACACACCGCCCGUCACACCAUGGGAGUUUGUAACGCCCAAAGUCGGUGGCCUAACCUUUAUGGAGGGAGCCGCUAAGGC
This 1458-nucleotide ribosomal RNA is filed under the name Limosilactobacillus reuteri. RNAcentral's name for it is "bacterial SSU rRNA". It matches the Rfam family "Bacterial small subunit ribosomal RNA". The record is from RNAcentral. Lineage: Bacteria; Bacillati; Bacillota; Bacilli; Lactobacillales; Lactobacillaceae.